GACGAACGCUGGCGGCGUGCUUAACACAUGCAAGUCGAACGGAAAGGCCCUGCUUUUGUGGGGUGCUCGAGUGGCGAACGGGUGAGUAACACGUGAGUAACCUGCCCUUGACUUUGGGAUAUCCUCAGGAAACUGGGGCUAAUCCCGGAUAGGAGCUCCUGCUGCAUGGUGGGGGUUGGAAAGUUUCGGCGGUUGGGGAUGGACUGGCGGCUUAUCAGCUUGUUGGUGGGGUAGUGGCUUACCAAGGCUUUGACGGGUAGCCGGCCUGAGAGGGUGACCGGCCACAUUGGGACUGGGAUACGGCACAGACUCCUACGGGAGGCAGCAGUGCGGAAUAUUGCACAAUGCGCGGAAGCCUGAUGCAGCAACGCCGCGUGCGGGAUGACGGCCAUCGGGUUGUAAACCGCUUUCGCCUGUGACGAAGCGAGAGUGACGGUAAUGGGUAAAGAAGCACCGGCUAACUACGUG
This 468-nucleotide ribosomal RNA is filed under the name uncultured bacterium. RNAcentral's name for it is "partial 16S ribosomal RNA". It matches the Rfam family "Bacterial small subunit ribosomal RNA", at positions 28 to 507 of the family's 1533-position model. The record is from RNAcentral.